UGAACUCCUGGCUUCAAUCGAUCCUUCUACCUUAGCCUCCUGCGUAUCUGGAACUACAUGUGCAAGUCACCAUACCCAGGCCCCUCUGAGCAGGGCCCAGCCGGUUCCAUUCGUCCUGGGAGAGGAGCACAGCCACAUCCUCGAAGGUUAACUUGGCCUGAAACGACAGGGGCUGCUGCAGGCACCUGGGACUGGUUCACCUGCCUCACUUGGGCCAGCUGCACUGAGGCCACACCUGUAAAUCCAGGAGAUGACACACUCCUCUGAAGGCCUAGAGAUCACGUGGUUGGUGAGAGGAGAUCUCAUAGAACAGCCCUGGCUCAGAGGUGGAUGCUGCUGGAUAAGGUAUUAUCUAUUUGAUUAAAUUAACACACAGAAGAAAAAUUCCAAAGGACAAUACCAGUCUGUUAGCAAGUGUGUGGCAGAGAGAAGUGAAAGGGAAAGAUUGUAGCAGGCGCGGUGGCUCACACCUGUAAUCCCAGCACUUCGGGAGGCCGA
Molecule: non-coding RNA, 498 nt
Organism: Saimiri boliviensis boliviensis (Bolivian squirrel monkey)
Lineage: Eukaryota; Metazoa; Chordata; Mammalia; Primates; Cebidae
Source: RefSeq, a predicted model, not a curated record